AUUGAACGCUGGCGGCAUGCCUUACACAUGCCAGUCGAACGGUAACGGGCCUUCGGGUGCCGACGAGUGGCGCACGGGUGAGUAAUACAUCGGAACGUGCCCGAUCGUGGGGGAUAACGAGGCGAAAGCUUUGCUAAUACCGCAUACGAUCUACGGAUGAAAGCAGGGGACCGCAAGGCCUUGCGCGGACGGAGCGGCCGAUGGCAGAUUAGGUAGUUGGUGGGAUAAAAGCUUACCAAGCCGACGACCUGUAGCUGGUCUGAGAGGAUGAUCAGCCACACUGGGACUGAGACACGGCCCAGACUCCUACGGGAGGCAGCAGUGGGGAAUUUUGGACAAUGGGCGCAAGCCUGAUCCAGCCAUGCCGCGUGCAGGAUGAAGGCCUUCGGGUUGUAAACUGCUUUUGUACGGAACGAAAAGCCUUCUUUUAAUACAGGAGGGUCAUGACGGUACCGUAAGAAUAAGCACCGGCUAACUACGUG
Molecule: ribosomal RNA, 482 nt
Filed under: uncultured bacterium
Lineage: Bacteria
Description: partial 16S ribosomal RNA
Rfam family: Bacterial small subunit ribosomal RNA
Source: RNAcentral